UUAAUAAAUGUUAUUAUUGAAAUUUAUAAAAAUUGUAUUGGACAGAAAAGGACAAAUAAUGUGAGAAUUUUUUUUAACAAACAAGAUUAUUAAAAUUUAAAAUAAGAAGAAAGUAACAUUGCAAAAAAAAAAAAAGAUUAAUUGAGUAAUAAUAAAACAAAAUAUUCGCUCGUCUUGAACCACCUAAAGCAGUCUUACACCUAACACAACACAGAGUUAACGGAGGCGGUAGGUGGGAUGAAACAGCUUCUAUACCUUCGUCACCCCAUCUCUUCUCUCUAUCCUUCCACUUCAUCGCCACAUCUAUCUCCUCCCUUCCCCUCCCUCUCUCUUUCUGUCUCUCCACCCAAUCUCUCUCUUCUUCCUCGUCUUCAUCGAAUCCAAACUCCACCCUUUCCUUCUCUCCCCUUCCCCGUCCCGCUUACCUCGUCUCCGGAUCCAAUGACGGCUCAGCGGUCAAAGUCCCGCUUAAGCGGGUCAAAACCCGCUUAAUCUCCCAAAACGUUUAAUAAUCCGAUUUAGCUCUAAUCGGAGUGUUUCUUAAUCGCCCACUUAAUGCGCUUUUCACAACACUGAUUUUGAGACGUCUCUCUUUUUUUAUACAUUUUAAAAAUAAUAAUUUUUAAUAUAAAUAAAUACCACAUUAACUACUUUCUUCGAAUUUAUUUAUUUCAUAGUAAUAUAAAACGCUAUUAUACACAUUAUUUUUUUCUUCGUUAUCUCAAAUUUAUUAUUAAAUAUAAAUUGGUCCAAUUACUUAACACCUAAUUUUAUUCAUUUUUAAAUAUUUUCUUGAUUUCCUUAACCACCAUCUGAUUAUUCUGAUAUAUAUAACCGGGUGGACGGGUGAAGUAGUUUUUAACCGGCAGUGAGACUUCGAGAUCAACUCCACAAGUUCAAAAGUAAGCUCCAGACAUUUAAUCGAAUUUGUUAUCAAUAUUGAUGUUACUAGAUAGUAGAUUCCGUUGAAACCCUUGAAUUCGAAAGUAAUCGUAAUAUUGUCACAUAGCAACGAGCCAGUCCCCCGUCAAAAUAAUGCACCACCAAAAGAGAAACCCACAUGUUAAUGAAUUGUCACGCAAUUAUCAUUCCAAUAAUUUGUUCACCCACCGCAAAGUCCACUCAUUUCGUUCUACCAUGAUGAUUAAUAAUUAGUACUUUUUUUUAUAAGAAGAACUGUAUAUAAUUAAUUUUACCAGUUUUGUAUUAGUUGACAUAUUGCGACUUUUUUUAUUCUAUUAAUCUAACCUCAGUGGCCACGAUUACAUGAAACAUGUCCAGCUUCCUGGGACACUUAUUCUUCAUUCGAGGGGUACGCCAUUUUGGUUUACUUUAUUUUCUGAUUUUGAACACACUUUUUUAUAUAUUGAUUUAUAAUUAAAAUUUUCAUUUAUAAAAUAUAAUUUUAUAAACAAAAUGUGCUGAUCAAAAUCUUAAUUUAUGAAAAUUAAAUUAACAAGAAUAAAAUAAAGAGAAGUAAAUAACUUUCUUACAUGGUAGUGUGAGAAAAUUUUAAGUAAAGUUUCGUUGCAUAAUAUAUUUAGUAUAUUUAUUUUAAAUAAAUAUAGUAAACUAUAUCGAAUUGUGUGUAGUUGAAUGAAUCAAGUACUAAGAAUCAUAAAAUAAACUACUUUAUCUACAAAAUUACAAAUUAUUUGGAAAAAGUUGAGAAAUCUGUAUAUAAAAAAGAUUUGUAAAAAGAAGGGAUAGAUACCAAUAAUGCAGGCUAUCUAAAUUGGUAGCGUGAAGAACCGAUACUGAAAAAUACUCCCUCCAUUCCAAAAUAAUAGUCGCUUUGACUUUGUACACGUAUUUUGAGGUGCAAAAA
RNAcentral lists this long non-coding RNA (1828 nucleotides) under Daucus carota (carrot). RNAcentral's name for it is "long non-coding RNA (DCAR_LNC005187)". Lineage: Eukaryota; Viridiplantae; Streptophyta; Magnoliopsida; Apiales; Apiaceae. The record is from RNAcentral.